This 253-nucleotide ribosomal RNA is filed under the name uncultured bacterium. RNAcentral describes it as "partial 16S ribosomal RNA". It matches the Rfam family "Bacterial small subunit ribosomal RNA", at positions 524 to 776 of the family's 1533-position model. The record is from RNAcentral.
UACAGAGGUCUCAAGCGUUGUUCGGAUUCAUUGGGCGUAAAGGGUGUGUAGGUGGCGCGCUAAGUCGGGUGUGAAAUUUCGGAGCUUAACUCCGAAACUGCAUUCGAUACUGCCGUGCUUGAGGACUGGAGAGGAGACUGGAAUUUACGGUGUAGCGGUGAAAUGCGUAGAUAUCGUAAGGAAGACCAGUGGCGAAGGCGGGUCUCUGGACAGUUCCUGACGCUGAGGCACGAAGGCCAGGGGAACAAACGGG